This 497-nucleotide ribosomal RNA is filed under the name uncultured bacterium. Its description in RNAcentral is "partial 16S ribosomal RNA". It matches the Rfam family "Bacterial small subunit ribosomal RNA", at positions 28 to 507 of the family's 1533-position model. The record is from RNAcentral.
GACGAACGCUGGCGGCGUGCCUAAUACAUGCAAGUUGAGCGCUGAAGGUUGGUACUUGUACCAACUGGAUGAGCAGCGAACGGGUGAGUAACGCGUGGGGAAUCUGCCUUUGAGCGGGGGACAACAUUUGGAAACGAAUGCUAAUACCGCAUAAAAACUUUAAACACAAGUUUUAAGUUUGAAAGAUGCAAUUGCAUCACUCAAAGAUGAUCCCGCGUUGUAUUAGCUAGUUGGUGGGGUAAAGGCUCACCAAGGGGAGGCUACAGAGCCCACCUGAGAGGGCGAGCGGCCACAUUGGGACGGAGACCCGGCACAAACGCCCAGGGGAGGCAGCAGUAGGGAAUCUUCGGGCAUGGACGAAAGUCUUACCGAGCAAGGCCGCGUGAGGGAAGAACGUUUUCGGAUCGUAAAACUCUGUUGGUAGAGAAGAAAGUUGGUGAGAGUGGAAAGCUCAUCAAGUGACGGUAACUACCCAGAAAGGGACGGCUAACUACGUG